This 2866-nucleotide long non-coding RNA is filed under the name Sus scrofa (pig). Its description in RNAcentral is "lncRNA (ENSSSCG00005023689.1)". The record is from RNAcentral. Lineage: Eukaryota; Metazoa; Chordata; Mammalia; Artiodactyla; Suidae.
GAGUGCGGGCGCCGCUUCUCCCAGGGCAGCCACCUGGCGGCGCACCGGCGCGACCACGCCCCGGAGCGGCCCUUCGUCUGCCCGGACUGCGGGAAGGCCUUCCGCCACAAACCCUACCUGGCGGCCCACCGGCGCAUCCACACAGGCGAGAAGCCCUACGUCUGUCCCGACUGCGGCAAAGCCUUCAGCCAGAAGUCUAACCUGGUGUCCCACCGGCGCAUCCACACCGGAGAGCGCCCCUAUGCCUGCCCCGACUGCGACCGCAGCUUCAGCCAGAAGUCCAACCUCAUCACCCACCGCAAGAGCCACAUCCGGGACGGCGCCUUCUGCUGUGCCAUCUGCGGCCAGACCUUUGACGACGAGGAGAAGCUCCUGGCCCAUCAGAAGAAGCAUGAUGUCUGAGAGGGCAGGUUUGCUCAAUUUCAGUCCUGACUGUCCUGUGCCCUGGAAAAGUAGCAAUAGCAGCUCCACCCACCCCUUAGAGCCCUCCCCGCCGGAGGGGCCACCAGUGGACAGGAGGACCCUUUUCUGAUGUUAACGCCUUAAUGUCCCUGUCUUUAACUAUGAGUUCCUUCAGCUUGUUUUUUGGAAGUAGGUGUGGUACAGUCGUUAGUGAAUGAGCACCCAGGAGGAAAAGAGGACCAGCUGGAUACACCUGGGAGAACCUGCCGGCCUUGUUAGGCAGCACCUGGGCCUUUUCAAGUACUGGGCGGCAAAGCAGAGCUGCUCCAGCCUGUCUCGCCCCAUCCCCUCCCUCCUGCCCCUGCACAGGCACCUGGAUUUGGAGAGACCCAUCUACUGUUAGUGCUUUGUCCCCUUCCUCCCUCGACAUCAAUCCCCGGGGCCUCUCCCUACUGGUCUGACUUGCUUUAUCCAGCACCCUCCCAGCGCUUAGAACAUCCCCUGGCCGUCAGCUGCCCUGUGUCAGGGCUUUUGUUCGAACACCCCCAACCCUCCUUCCCUCCUUUCAGAACUCACCACGUGGGCAGAACUGCCCCACUGAUAAGGGAGGGUCAGCUGAUAGGAACCCAGGGUGAGUUUCCCCUUUGCCCUUUCUAGUGUGCGGAUGCCCAGCCUCUGCUUGAACACUUAGGUGACAGGGAGCCCCCCUACCUCCUGAGGCCCUGGUUCUACUGUAGGGUAAUUCUAAUUGUUAGAAAUUCUUCCUUAUAAUGAAUGAAGUCUGCUUCCUUGUAAUUUCUACUGUUGGGCCUUGUUUGUUCUCUGGAACUAAACACAACCACUUACCCUCCUUUUCGAACUAGAGAAUAAAGAUCUGGUUUUAGAACCAGUGGCUAAAAACUGUUCCUUUGUCCUGGGGAGCUGUGGGGUCAGAGGGAGCAGAAGUAGCUCUGCCCCGACAGGGUGGGGUUGGGUGACAGGCUGAGUGGUGCAACUUGUCAGGCGUCCCUGCACCUUCCUGCACUUCUUCCCCAGGGUGGGGCCGGACACUCGGCAAGUGGGGUAACCUCUCCAGGGGUCCAGCCUUCUGUGGGAUCAGGUGAGCUUUGCUGGGUGCCAGGUGUCCAGGGAAAAGGGCUGUUAGACUCUGUCCUGCAGUGCCUCUCUGGCUGGCCUGCGGUUCCCACAUCUGUUACUGCAUGCGCUUCCCUCUGCUGUUUUUUUUUAUACACAUUUGAGAGGUUUCUUUUUUCUUUUCUUUUUAUUUUUUUUUUUUGUCUGUGCCCACGUCGUAUGGAAGUUCCUGGGCCAGGGAUUGAAUCUGCUGCAGCUUUGACCUGUGCCAUAGCUGCAGCAAUGCUGGGUCUUUGACCCACUGUGCCAGGCCAGGGAUCGGAUUGAACCUGCACCUCAGCAGCAACCUGAGCCACCACAGACACAACACCAGAUACCUAACCCCCUGUGCUACAGUGGGAACUCCUUGAGUACCUAUAUUUGACAGGUAUCAAUGGGCCCUUUUCCUGUCUCAGUAAUUUCUGCAUAGAUCUCUAGCAUCUAACAGAGUCUAGCGCAACCAUGUGAGUGAAGCCAUGCAAAGAAGUUUACCUAAAUUAUCUCACAAUUGGAAUUCAUUAGGUAGUCUUAUUCUUUUACAGAGGAAAACAUUCGCACAAAGCCAUAUAACUGGUAAUCACCAGAGGUGAUUCAAACUUGGGUCUCUUUGACUAGAACCUGUGCUCUUGACCACUGCUGUGUGUUUAUUGGGGGAAUGCAGUGCUGCUGCUUUGGGUGAAGGUCAGUGUUAAAUGGCUGUGUGUGCUUGAUGUGAUAGGCACUGGGGAUUUACAAAAGUUAGGCCCAAUCUUAGCCUUGAGAGGCCUAAGUCUGGGAGGAGUUACACCAUAUACAAAUCAUGAGUAGAGUUGAGAGGUGGCUGAGGGGUGGUGGGGUUCCAGGUGUGUAGGAUGAUGCGUGCAGACAGCAUCAAAGCGUUAUACUGGGUUAGGGGGCCACUUCCAAACCUGUGUAGUUGAUGGCAAAUUAUCUCUCAGAGCCUGGGAACAUUGUCUCAAGAAAGACAAUUCCAACAUGUCUCUUUAGGAGUUCCUGUCAUGGCAGAGUGGAAAGGAACCCAACUAGGAACCAUGAGGUUGUGGGUUCGAUCCCUGGCCUCGCUCAGUGGAAGGAUCCUGCUGUGUUGCCAUGAGCUGUGAUGUAGGUCGCAGAUGAGGCUUGGAUCCUGCGUUGCUGUGGCUGUGGUGUAGGUUGGCAGCUGCAGCUCCGAUUCAACCCCUAACCUGGGAACUUCCAUAUGCUGCAGGUGCGGCCCUAAAAAGCAAAAAAAAACAGCAAAUAAAUAUGUCUUUUUUUUAGAAGAGCUCAGGGCUUGAAGGGCUUGGGAAGGGAGCAGUGCUUUUUGCCAGGUGACCAGGAAAGUAGCUAGAUGGCUGGGGAGGAUGGGCAG